GUGGGGAAUAUUGGACAAUGGGCGAAAGCCUGAUCCAGCCAUGCCGCGUGUGUGAAGAAGGUCUUCGGAUUGUAAAGCACUUUAAGUUGGGAGGAAGGGCAGUAAGUUAAUACCUUGUUGUUUUGACGUUACCGACAGAAUAAGCACCGGCUAACUUCGUGCCAGCAGCCGCGGUAAUACGAAGGGUGCAAGCGUUAAUCGGAAUUACUGGGCGUAAAGCGCGCGUAGGUGGUUUUGUAAGUUGGAGGUGAAAUCCCCGGGCUCAACCUGGGAACUGCCUCCAAAACUGCAUGACUAGAGUACGGUAGAGGGUAGUGGAAUUUCCUGUGUAGCGGUGAAAUGCGUAGAUAUAGGAAGGAACACCAGUGGCGAAGGCGACUACCUGGACUGAUACUGACACUGAGGUGCGAAAGCGUGGGGAGCAAACAGGAUUAGAAACCCCAGUAGUCC
Molecule: ribosomal RNA, 450 nt
Filed under: uncultured bacterium
Lineage: Bacteria
Description: bacterial SSU rRNA
Rfam family: Bacterial small subunit ribosomal RNA
Source: RNAcentral